UAUCUCUCCGUACGGGGAAGGAUGAGAAGCUUCGACUAAGGUUCGAUUCGAGCGCAGCGAGAAAGCGUUGCCGUAGGCAACGACCCGAAGG
Molecule: small RNA, 91 nt
Filed under: Salmonella enterica
Lineage: Bacteria; Pseudomonadati; Pseudomonadota; Gammaproteobacteria; Enterobacterales; Enterobacteriaceae
Also listed under: 2 other names
Description: partial RtT sRNA
Rfam family: RtT RNA
About the family: This family represents a bacterial cis-regulatory element known as RtT RNA. The exact function of RtT is unknown although it is thought that it may be involved in changing the cellular response in relation to amino acid starvation.
Source: RNAcentral